Carassius auratus (goldfish) is the source of this 948-nucleotide long non-coding RNA. RefSeq lists it as uncharacterized. The record is from RefSeq and is a predicted model, not a curated record. Lineage: Eukaryota; Metazoa; Chordata; Actinopteri; Cypriniformes; Cyprinidae. The transcript has 4 exons.
GUCUUACAAGAUAAAGGUCCAUUAGGGUUAAUAUGUUAAUUAUAUUUGUUCCUCAACGGAUCAAUUGUAGCUCUCUGUAUUGAGAGCAACUAAAAGAGCUUACUGUAGAUAUGUUGUCCAUGUUUCUCUUUGCUCUUUUUUCAUUCAGAAUGGUGUGAGUUCACCCCAAAUGAGGUGGGAUUUACCAAGUAUGGUGCCUUUAUACCUGCACAGAACUUUGGGAGUGAAUAUUACCUCGGUCACAUGGUCAAGAAACUCCCACAAUCUGGAAUUGACUCUUUAUUGGACACAGAUGACAAACCAUCAGCGUCAUACACACUUCAGGUCAACCCUAUGACUGUUUUGGCAAAACUUCAUUCCUAUUUGGCCCCAUUAUCUGCCAAGUGUUCAACUUCCUUAGAGGCUUCCACCUGCACAUGAACUACAGUGAGAACUGUGGAUUCACCACAUGGAAAGAUGUCUUCCCAAACUCCCUGACACCAGCUGACACCACACCAGCUGAGUACAACUUUACCAAUUAAAUUGUUUUGUCAACUUUAUUUCUACUAAAAGCAGUUGUGUUUGUCUGUUUGUGUGGCAGGAGUGAAGAGAAAAGGUAAGGCGGAGAUGAAGGAUGUAGAUUUUGAUAUUGACUUCACUAUUGAUUCCCCGGGAACACAUGAUAGAUAAAAAUUGAUAGCCUGAAUGCACUAAGCUGACCAGCCUCACCACCUACAACAACAAAGACGUAAUUCUAAACAUGCUGAACAAAGCACUGAAGAGAAUCAAGGAGAGAAUUCCUGUCACAGAGGCGUCGAAAUUCUGGUUUGAUGAUGACACUGGAAGUUGAGGCUGACAGCAGGAGCAACCGGAGAGUGAUUUUUGUCUAUAUUUAACAAAAAGGAUUCAUUAAAAGGGAUAGUUCACCUAAAAAUGUCAUCGGUCAUCACCCUCAUAUUGUUCCAAAAU